Molecule: ribosomal RNA, 2805 nt
Filed under: Cornucopina sp. n. RJO-2020
Lineage: Eukaryota; Metazoa; Bryozoa; Gymnolaemata; Cheilostomatida; Bugulidae
Description: partial large subunit ribosomal RNA
Rfam family: Eukaryotic large subunit ribosomal RNA
Source: RNAcentral
ACCCGCUGAACUUAAGCAUAUCAGUAAGCGGAGGAAAAGAAACUAACUAGGAUUCCCCGAGUAGCGGCGAGCGAAAGGGGAGAAGCCCAGCGCCGAAGCCCGCGGCCUCUGGUCGCAGUGCAAUGUGGCGUUACGGUGGCGGCUCGCCGCAGCAGCUCUGGCACGAGUACCUCUGAAUGGGUCUGCCCGCAGCGGGUGUCAGGCCUCUACUUGCCUACGAGUUGCUGUGGCCCGCCGUUCAUCGCGGAGUCGGGUUGCUUGAGAGUGCAGCCCAAAGUGGGUGGUAAGCUCCAUCUAAGGCUAAAUACCUAGUGCGAGACCGAUAGCAAACAAGUACCGUGAGGGAAAGUUGCAAAGAACUUUGAAAAGAGAGUUCAAGAGUACGUGAAACCGUUCAGAGGCAAACGGACGGAACUGGGCGAGUUCGUCGCCGCCACUCAGCCGCCGACUCGUCGGCGGUGCACUUGGCGGCGGCGGAGCGCGACGACCGCCUGUCGGGUCGUCAGAAGCCCGGCGGCAAGGUGGCGACGCGUUCGCGCGUCGUGUUACAGGCCGCCGAGGCGUUGGCAGACUUGGCGGGCGAGGAGCGCCUGCGGUGCACUCCCCGCGCGGGAGUGACCCGUCGCGGUGGGCUUGCGGACGCCGGCGGCGAACUGCGUGCAGUUCGUCGUCGCGUCGCUCCGUCUGUCACGCCGCGCGGUGUCACGUGGCACCCAGGGUCCGAGUCGCGUGGUUCCUGGCACUCCGUCCGACCCGUCUUGAAACACGGACCAAGGAGUUGAGCACGCGCGCAAGUCGAUGGGCUCCAAGAACCCCAGAGGCGCAGCUAAGGCAAAACGGGCGUGAUCCGGCACUGGCGUGUCGGCGCAACGCCGGCCCGCAGCCGACUCGAUGCAAGUGGCUGCGGCGCAAGAGCGUGUGUGCUCAGACCCGAAAGGUGGUGAACUAUGCUUGAGCAGGGCGAAGCCAGAGGAAACUCUGGUGGAGGCUCGCAGCGAUCCUGACGUGCAAAUCGGUCGUCAAACUUGAGCAUAGGGGCGAAAGACUAAUCGAACCGCCUAGUAGCUGGUUCCCUCCGAAGUUUCCCUCAGGAUAGCUGGCACUCGGGAUAAAUGGUUUUAUCCGGUAAAGCGAAUGAUUAGAGGCAUUGGGGACGAAACGUCCUCAACCUAUUCUCAAACUUUAAAUGGGUAAGAGGCGCGACCCUUCCUGAUCGGGGUCGCGUGCUUGAACAGAGAGUGCCCAGUGGGCCGUUUUUGGUAAGCAGAACUGGCGCUGUGGGAUGAACCAAACGUGCGGUUAGGGUGCCUAACGCACGCUCAUGAGAUACCACAAAAGGUGUUGGUUGAUAUAGACAGCAGGACGGUGGCCAUGGAAGUCGGAAUCCGCUAAGGAGUGUGUAACAACUCACCUGCCGAAUCAACUAGCCCUGAAAAUGGAUGGCGCUGGAGCGUGCGACCCAUACCGCACCGUCGGGGCAAUGCGUGCGAAAUGCCAGGCCCCGACGAGUAGGAGGGCGUGUCGGUGGCGUUGAAGCGUAGUGCGCGAGCACGCGUGGAGCCGCCUUCAGUGCAGAUCUUGGUGGUAGUAGCAAGUAUACAAAUGAGAACUUUGUAGACCGAAGUGGAGAAGGGUUCCAUGUGAACAGCAGUUGGACAUGGGUCAGUCGGCCCUAAGAGAUCGGAGAAUUCCGUUCUGAACGGGGGAGGCGCACGCCGUCUGAACACUGUUCAGGUGAGGAAGCGGCGUAAUGUGCGUGGCUGCCCCCGAUGCGAUCGAAAGGGAAUCGGGUUAAUAUUCCCGAACCUGGUAGUGGAGAUUGGGCCCUCGGGCCCCAGUGCGGUAACGCAACCGAACUCGGAGACGCCAGCGUCGAUCCCGGGAAGAGUUCUCUUUUCUUUGUUAGGAGCGGACUCCCUGGAAUUGGCUUGUCCAGAGAUAGGGACGUUGCAUCCGUAAAGCGUCGCGCCUCAUGCGGCGUCCGGUGCAUCGGCGUUGGCCCUUGAAAAUCCGAGGGAGGCAGUGUGAUUUUCACUCCAGGCCGUACCCGAAUCCGCAGCAGGUCUCCAAGGUGAACAGCCUCUGGUCGAUAGAACAAUGUAGGUAAGGGAAGUCGGCAAAUCCGAUCCGUAACUUCGGGACAAGGAUUGGCUCUGAGGUGCGGGCUGCUUCGGGUCGCGGCAAGAAGCGGACCGCGCGUCGGUAGGACUGGACGCGCCCUGCGCGUUCGGACCGCCGCCGGCGUGCGUCCGUGGGAGGCCGUGGCUUUCGCCGGCGCUGGUCUUCGGGCCGGCGUCGGCUUCGUUCGGCCUAAACGCACAGCACAGAACUGGCACGGACUCUGGGAACACGACUGUCUAAUUAAAACAAAGCAUCGCGAUGGCCGCUGGUCGGUGUUGACGCGAUGUGAUUUCUGCCCAGUGCUUUGAAUGUCAAAGUGAAGAAAUUCAACCAAGCGCAGGUAAACGGCGGGAGUAACUAUGACUCUCUUAAGGUAGCCAAAUGCCUCGUCAUCUAAUUAGUGACGCGCAUGAAUGGAUUAACGAUGUUCCCACUGUCCCUAUCUACUAUCUAGCGAAACCACAGCCAAGGGAACGGGCUUGGCAAAUACAGCGGGGAAAGAAGACCCUGUUGAGCUUGACUCUAGUUUGACAUUGUGAAGAGACACGAAAGGUGUAGCAUAGGUGGGAGACGCUCGCGCGUCAACAAUGAAAUACCACUACUUCCGUAGUUUCUUUACUUAUUCAGUAAGACGGAAGGCGAGCGGCCCGCGCGGUCGUUCGGCAUUCUGGCGUUGCAAGCCGU